GGGCGCUUGGCUCAGUUGGUUAGAGCGCCACGUUUACACCGUGGAUGACAGAGGUUCGAAUCCUCUAGCGCCCA
This 74-nucleotide transfer RNA is filed under the name Spirochaetaceae bacterium. RNAcentral describes it as "tRNA-Val". It matches the Rfam family "tRNA". Rfam says of the family: Transfer RNA (tRNA) molecules are approximately 80 nucleotides in length. Their secondary structure includes four short double-helical elements and three loops (D, anti-codon, and T loops). Further hydrogen bonds mediate the characteristic L-shaped molecular structure. tRNAs have two regions of fundamental functional importance: the anti-codon, which is responsible for specific mRNA codon recognition, and the 3' end, to which the tRNAs corresponding amino acid is attached (by aminoacyl-tRNA synthetases). tRNAs cope with the degeneracy of the genetic code in two manners: having more than one tRNA (with a specific anti-codon) for a particular amino acid; and 'wobble' base-pairing, i.e. permitting non-standard base-pairing at the 3rd anti-codon position. The record is from RNAcentral. Lineage: Bacteria; Pseudomonadati; Spirochaetota; Spirochaetia; Spirochaetales; Spirochaetaceae.